Molecule: small RNA, 563 nt
Filed under: Pan troglodytes (chimpanzee)
Lineage: Eukaryota; Metazoa; Chordata; Mammalia; Primates; Hominidae
Description: processed transcript
Source: RNAcentral
CAGUGACGAGGUCCGCUACGUAAAUCCCUUUGCGGCGGGAUAAAUAAAGAAAACAGGAAAGGAGGAAAGCAUUGAUUACAGAUGUCUUAACAAUGAGCAAAUGUGCAAGGAAAAAAUAUAUUAAGACAAAUCCAAGGUAGCAGCAAUUGCAGAGACAGAUGAAUCUGCAGAAUCAGAAGGUGUAAUUGAUUCUCAUAAACGUAGAGAAAUCCUUUCACGAAGACCCUCUUAUAGGAAAAUACUGAAUGAACUGUCCUCUGAUGUGCCUGGUGUUCCCAAGAUUGAAGAAGAGAGAUCAGAGGAAGAAGGAACACCACCUAGUAUUGCUACCAUGGCAGUACCAACUAGCAUAUAUCAGACUAGCACGGGGCAAUACAGUAUGUAUGCUGCAAUUCGAUAUGAUACAGUGCUAGCUUUAAGUCUUCUCUAGUUAUAUUGAAGCAACUCAGGUUUUGGCAUUAAAUUGUUCCAUUUUAAAAUGCAUCAUUAAUACCUAAACUGUAUCAUAGAAUGAAAGUAUAUGUUAAAAAGUGAGAUCUUUGUAUUGACAGCUGUCAUAUAAU